Molecule: ribosomal RNA, 3350 nt
Filed under: bioreactor sludge metagenome
Description: bacterial LSU rRNA
Rfam family: Bacterial large subunit ribosomal RNA
Source: RNAcentral
CAAAGCACGUAAGGGCGUAUGGUGGAUGGCUUGGCAGUAUGGAGCCGAUGAAGGACGCAGCAGCCUGCGAUAAGCUUCGGGGAGGUGGCAAGCAACCUAUAAUCCGGAGAUGUCCGAAUGGGGAAACCCAAUUCCAGUCAUGUGGAAUUAUCUUGCGCUGAAUAUAUAGGCGUAUAGAUGGGAACCUAGGGAAGUGAAACAUCUCAGUACCUAGAGGAAAAGAAAAAAGACAGCUGACCUCAUAUCUUUCUCCAAGACUUUUUUGGAGUGAGAUAUGUUGUCAGCAACAUUCCGUUAGUAGUGGCGAACGAAAGCGGAUCAGCCUAAACCUUUUUAUACUAACUUAUGCACCGAGUUGAGCUUUUGUUUAACCGCGGGCAUGAGCGACGAGCUUGAGCUGUCGUAUAAAUUGGUGUUGCGGACGGAGCGUCGUGUACUCAAGAGCACGGAUGCGUGAUUUUAACUUGGUAGCUGAAUUCGCUGGAAAGCGAGUCCAAAGAAGGUGAUAGACCUGUAGGCGAAAUCAUCGUUAAAACGCAUUGUUCCAGAUCCAAAGUACUGUGGGACUCGAGAAAUCCCGCAGGAAGCAGCCAUGACGAUGUGGCAAGGCUAAAUACUCCUACUGACCGAUAGUGAACCAGUACCGUGAGGGAACGCUGAAAAGCAGCCCGGGAGGGCGAUGAAAUAGUAUCUGAAACCAUACGCUUACAAGGAGUCGGAGCCCGUAUCUCACUAGCGUUCGAUACUCCAAUUACCAAUGACCAAUUAUCAAUUACCAAUGAAAGAAUCGCUUCGCGAUAUUAAUUCUAUAAUUAAUGCCGUAGGCGACCAACAUUGUUAAUUGUUAAUCGUUAAUUGGUAAUUGAACGAGUAGCGAGCGAUAGCGAGAUACGAGUGACGGCGUGCCUAUUGAAGAAUGAGCCAACGAGUGUGCUAUAUGUCGCUUGGUUAAGUCCGUGCGCGGACGCAGCCUUAGUGAAAGCGAGCCUGAAUAGGGCGUUUUGUGGCAUAUACACGACCCGAAACCCGGUGAUCUAACCAUGACCAGGAUGAACCCCGCAGAAAUGCGGGAGGAGGUCCGAACCCACGAGCCGUGCAACACUCGGGGAUGAGUUGUGGCUAGCGGAGAAAUUCCAAUCGAACUGGGUGAUAGCUGGUUCUCCCUGAAAUAGCUUUAGGGCUAGCGUCAGUUAAUAGCAUAAUGGGGGUAGAGCACUGAAUGGGGGCGGGGGCGCAAGCCUACCUCUCCCAACCAAACUCCGAAUACCAUUAUGUGUUCCUGGCAGUCAGACUAUGGGGGCUAAGCUCCAUUGGUCAAGAGGGAAACAGCCCAGAUCGCAGAUUAAGGUCCCUAAAUUCGUACUAAGUGUGAAAAGUGGUAGGAAGACUUAUACAACCAGGAGGUUGGCUUAGAAGCAGCCAUCCUUUAAAGAAAGCGUAAUAGCUCACUGGUCAAGUUUUCCUGCGCUGAAAACUUAUCGGGGCUCAAGUACGAUACCGACGUCGCGAGUCAUCCGUGCUUCACUAAUGUUCAGCACUUCAAUUACCAAUGACCAAUUAUCAAUUACCAAUGAAUGAAUCGCUUCGCGAUAUUAAUUAUAUAAUUAAUGCCGAAGGCGACAGUCAUUGUUAAUUGUUAAUCGUUAAUUGGUAAUUGAGAAAGUGGUGAGCGAUAGCGAAGCACGGGGGGCGGUAAGGGAGCAUUUGCAGCAGCGUUGAAGCGGGAGCGCGAGCCACCGUGGAGCGCUGCGAAGAGAGAAUGUUGGCAUAAGUAGCAUAAAGACGGGUGAGAAUCCCGUCCACCGUAAACCCAAGGUUUCCAGGGCAACGCGAAUCGUCCCUGGGUUAGUCGGUCCUAAGGCGAGGCCGAAAGGCGUAGUCGAUGGACAGCAGGUUAAUAUUCCUGCACUACUGUAUAGUUUCGAUGGAGUGACGCAUUCUUGCAUCUUCCGAGAUUCCCGGAAUGAAUCUCUGGGUACUCAGGGGUGACUGGCAGGCAAAUCCACCAGUCAUAAGCCUCGGGGUCAUCGCAAGCACCGCGCAAGCGGAGCAAGGGAAGAGAAUGGGGUGCCAAGAAAACCUUCUAGAGCUAACUGUAUGGUAACCGUACCGCAAACCGACACAGGUGGGUGGGCGUAAGUGUGCCAAGGUGUACGAGAGAAUCCGUGUGUAGGAACUCGGCAAAAUAGCGGCCGUAACUUCGGGAUAAGGCCUGCCGGUCAUUCGACCGGCCACAGCAAAAGACGCAAACCGACUGUUUACCAAAAACACAGCUCCCUGCUAAACCGCAAGGUGAUGUAUAGGGGGUGAUGCCUGGCCAGUGUCAGAACGUUAAGCGGAGAGGUUAAGGACUUCGGUCCUGAAGCUUUGAAGUCAAGCGCUGAUGAACGCCGGCGAUAACUAUAAUCGUCCUAAGGUAGCGAAAUUCCUUGUCGGGUGAGUUCCGACCCGCACGAAUGGCAUAACGAGUUUGCGACUGUCUUCACAUGGAACUCGGCGAAAUUGCAAGUGGGGUGAAGAUGCCCUGUACGCGUAGUCAGACGAAAAGACCCCGUGAAGCUUUACUAUAACUUGAUAUUGGGUCAUAGCGGUACAUGUUCAGCAUAGGUGGGAGCCUUCGGGCGCCAGUGAGAUACCACCCUUGUGCCGUUGUGACUCUUGAUCUUAAUCCGUGAAUCCGGAAUAGGAGACAGUAUCUGGUGGGUAGUUUAACUGGGGCGGUUGCCUCCCAAAAAGUAACGGAGGCGUUCACAAAGGUCGGCUAAGCGCGGAUGGAAAUCGCGUGCGUCCUGUAAUGGGAUAAGCCGGCUUAACUGCAAGACCAACAAGUCGCGCAGAUGCGAAAGCAGGACAUAGUGAUCCGACCGUACGAUAUCGGACGGCGGAAGCUCAACGGAUAAAAGCUACUCCGGGGAUAACAGGCUGAUCUCGCCUAAGCGUCCACAGCGACGGCGAGGUUUGGCACCUCGAUGUCGGCUCAUCGCAUCCUGGGGGUGGAGAAGCUCCCAAGGGUUUGGCUGUUCGCCAAUUAAAGCGGUACGCGAGCUGGGUUCAGAACGUCGUGAGACAGUUCGGUCUCCUGUCUACUAUGCGCGUGGAAUCUUGAGGGAUCGGAUCUCUAGUACGAGAGGACCGAGAUUCACGAACCUCUAGUGCACCGGUUGUCCUACCAAGGGCACCGCCGGGUAGCUACGUUCGGUUUGGAUAAACGCUGAAAGCAUAUAAGCGUGAAGCCGUUCCCAAGAUUAGGAUUCAGAGAGCCCUCCGAGACGAGGAGGUUGAUAGGCGGAAGGUGUAAGCCCGGCAACGGGUUCAGCCGAUCCGUACUAAUAGCUCGAUGCUUUGACCGU